UAUUAUCCUAUUACCUGAUUAUGUUGGAGGCAGGAGCAGCUGCAGGGGCAAGCUGGGGUCAGAUGUUUCUCCUCAGGAUCAAGGAGCUGCUCCUUCAGUUCUCCAUUCAAUUGCUGGAGUUUCAGAGGAUGAGGAGCAGCCUGGUAGUCCAGCUCAUCUCUUGUGAUGUAAUGGUGGUAGUGCUGGCCAGACUCUCGGUUCCCCUUUGCCCGUCCAGGACAAGAGGCGUGGUUGUUAUGGUUGUUGUAGUAGUGAUGCCUGAUGUUGCCGUUUGCCUGAUUUUUGUGCUGCUGGCUGGGAUGAUGGACACCCCUGCCGUUGCUGUGUUUGUAUGGGUCGGUGUCACGGUAGUAGAUGUCACAAUUUUCAGGGUCGAAGGUCGUGUCACUCAUGGUUUCGUCAGGGUACAGCGGGCUCCUCUCACACUCUGGAGUUGUGCAGUUCUCCCCCACCUCAUAGACAAAGAAGAUUUUGGACAUGUAGUCUAUGAUGAGGACUUUAGCCCAGUGAGGGACUGGCUUGGCCUCAGCGCCACAGAAAUGAAUGUUCAUAAUGAAGAUGGUGAGGGAUGUUGAGGCUGUGAUCAUUGUCAUGGUGGCGAUGUAGUAUUUUCCUAGGAAUUUGAUAAAGGUAAAGGUUACACAAUACUCCCAACGUUAGGUGCAAUUGCAAAAUCAUAUGAGACCCAUGACAAGGGUUGUAUCUACAUUUCUGCCUUCAGAAGUAUAAUUAAGCUCUGUUUUAAUGGACACUGCCAGACAUAUAUUCAUUUAACAUAAUCUUAUUAUUGUAUUUGUCGUAUGAUGGUAGAAUGUAAAUUAUGUGGAAAAAAGCAGCUAUAUGUUUAAAGAGAGAGUUUGGGUAUUUUGACGUGAAGUUGUAUGACAUCCCCAUCAGCAAUGUAGUGCAUCAAUGCUUCAUUCUGUGAGCCGAGUUCUGGUUGGUUUUCGGUGUUGCUAAUUGUUGGGGUCAACGUACUAGCUGAUUCUUGAGAGCCUCUUCCGAGUAUAAUACCGUAUCGGCAGCAUCUAAUAAGCGUUCCCUCCCUCUAUCGUGGGUCACCCUUCGCGGAUUCGCUGUUUCGCUGAAUUUUUUUGUGCUUUUCUUUUUUAAAGGCCAAGCCUGGCCCUUUCAGAAGAAUUGCAAUGCGCAAAGUUGUCGUCUGUCUGCAGCGCCCAUUGUUUUCUGUGUCUUGAUUGGCUGUAGACCUUUGUCCAUCAAUCUCCUUCGUGCCGCCCUGCCGUGUCUCCUGUGUCAUGCUAGCUUGCUUGCCAGCUUGUAAAUGAAUCUUCGGUUCAAAAGAGGAGGACUGCAACAGGUGGAGGACUGCAGCAAUAUGUUUUAACAAGGAUAGAAAAACGCUACAGUACAGCAGAACGGCGCCAGGAUGAAAAGGCACAGGAGUGAAAUACACGCGGCAUGCUCUCAGCAACCAGCAGUUGAAACACGGUGAGGGCCAACAGCACGGUCACCCCCAGGGACACCUUCUCCCCCGAGUCGGCAGGGAGGUAGAAGCCCAGCGGCGCCAGGAACGAGAUGAGGAAGCACGGCAGCAGCAGGUUGAAGAUGUAGAAGGACGAGCGACGCUUAAGGAGCAGGGUGUAGGUGACCUCUGUGUAAGGAUCAGAGCAGCAGCCGUACAUCAUGACGUUCCUCACUGCUGGCAUACCAUGGCACUCCCACUCUACAUUCUCCACAAAGUCAGACAGGUCGCCGCUGUCCAUCCCCAAGCUGAUGUCCACCUGUGUGAAAGACCAUUGGUGGUCCAGGAGCCGAAGGUGAGGUUGCACUGCUGCCAGUCAAAAGGGAAGUAAGAAACAUCCACCACACACGUACUCUUCGUGAUGGCCGGAGAGUCCCAGACAAUCUCCCCAUUGUAGCGCAGCUUCACAUUGGUGUUGGACGGACCAGACAAUUCCUCAUCUGCUCUGAACACAUUAGAUGCAAGUCAGAUGCAAACACACCUGCUUUUAGAGGACAAUGUCUGGCUUCCAAACCAAGUCGCUGGGGAUGUUGAUCAUCUCCAGAUCAUCGUAGUCCUCCUUGUUCCACUUCAGGUUGGCAUCGUGCCACACCUGUCUGAUCCACAGAGAUGCAGCUCUCCCGAUGUGCUCCCGACUCCCGCAAGUCCGUCUGGGUGGCCACGACCAGCACCGGCACUUUGGACCCAGCUGGAUUAGGACUCCAUCCAUGUAGACCUCCACACCUGUGUUGUCGAACACCGUAGGCCUGUAGGCAUCUGGGAAGGUUCCUGAGGCGAAUCUGACCAGAAGGGACGUCUUUCCCACCGCGCUGUCCCCGACCAGGACGCACUUGACUGACAUUCCAACAGCCAGCUCUGCUCUGCACUCACCAAGUGACGAUAAGACAAGCAACUGAAAAACAGAAGGCAAGAAAUGAAAAGCACAUCCGCUUGCUGGGAGAGAAGAGAGGGUCACACGUCCCUCCCCCACAGCCACAGCUGUUGCAUUCACUUACAGACACGGUCCAGAUGCUCCAGGGCCUCAGUCACGUGCAGCCCAUGGAGGUCCAAAAUGUUGUUCGGGAGAAGCGAGGAGUUGACCCUCUCAAAGAUCUGGACUGCUGCACGAUGGUUGGCCUCAUACAUUUUCUGCCCGUGUAAGUGUCCCUUGUGAAACAGAUGAACCAAAUACUUUUUUCUCUGCGCACAACAGCACCUCUCCUGGUUGCAUCCAAGUAGUGCAUUCCAAGAUGAAUAAAAGCGUCUGCGCUUACCUGCAGUGCAUAAAAUGAAGCCACCUGUUUGCGUCCUUGCUUGUGAGCCUCAGCAGCCUUAGAAAAACACUCGAGCUGCCGACUUCUUUGCAGACUCGCCUCGGCCCUGAAGUCCUCAUACUGAGGAUCCUCUGUGUCCUGGUAGUUCUGGAGGGGUAUGGAAGAGUCCGGAAUCUUCUGCCUCUGGCAAAUUUAAAAGCAGUUCAGUGGCUGACAAGUAAGACCAAGAAGACUCUCUACAAAUCAUAUCUGAGAGAAACUGGUGUAAAAUAGGCACUAUCAAUUGUAUGGCAUCACUUGAUUUUCAGCUGGGAUAGGCUCCAGCAUACCCAUGACCCUAGUGGGCAACACGCGGUACAGAAAAUGGAUAAACAUAGCAGUGUGUGUAUAUAUAUAUAUAUAUAUAUAUAUAUAUAUAUAUAUAUAUAUAUGUAUAUGUAUGUAUAUAUAUGUGUAUAUAUAUAUGUAUAUAUAUAUAUAUGUGUGUGUAUAUAUAUA
Long non-coding RNA from Dunckerocampus dactyliophorus (ringed pipefish), 3234 nucleotides. RefSeq lists it as uncharacterized. The record is from RefSeq and is a predicted model, not a curated record. The transcript is spliced from 8 exons. NCBI's taxonomy places the organism in Eukaryota, Metazoa, Chordata, Actinopteri, Syngnathiformes, Syngnathidae.